UUAAAAAAUUUGCAAUCCCACACAUAACAAGAAAAAAAAUAUCUACACAUUUCUGCUUAAUGCUUGUAUAGUGUGUGGUUUACUGGAAAUGACCAAGACAUUGCAUCACACACACAACCAAACCAGAUGUCAGUUGAAGUACCAAGACUGACCUGUGAGGGCCAGCAUAAUGUCACAGGGCAUCCAGACUGUUGGAAAAUACAAGGAAGAAGAAAGCAGAAGAACCUGAAGAUGCUUGGCUAAUUUACAUUAUAUGGUUGAUGCAUCGGAUACAAGAGUGGGGCCGGCCCAUUCUCACCAAUUCCCAGUCAACCAGAAGCUGCACCCUUGCACCUCCUUCUCGCGUUGCCGCAGUUCUGCAGAAGAGACUUGAUCCCUGUCAGGCACGUUGGGCCCUGUUUCUCACCCCGUUUGACUUCGUCAUCACCGACUGUCCAGUCUUAUAGAACGGCAAACCGGAUGGUCUGUCCAGGAUGUACAGCUCGAGGACAGUGUGCUGGAGGACAUCAUACAAGACGACAGGAUUGUCAGGGGUCUCCAGUGGGAGGUGGAGAUCAGAUUGGACAGCAUGGCAGAGGAGGCGCAGGUCCCCCAAGGGUACCCUGUGGAUGAACUGUUUGUUCUCGUUCACCUACGACCAAAAGUGGCUUGCCAUCCAGGCAUAAAUAGGACUCAAUUCCUCAUUGGCCAAAGGUUUUGGUGGCCAGGGCAUCGGAAGAACAUUAAGGAAUUUUUUGCCGCCUGCUCUGUCUGGCACUAAGAAACCAUCCCACUGAGUGUCCGGCGCACACCUGCUUGGUAUCAUGAUCAGUUAGGUUCUUAAGCGCCGGAUAGAUGGGAGCUAGUCGCCGGAAUAUUGUUGUUCAUUGUCAUUUGCCAGUUUGAUCAUGUGCUUUUGCCUGCCAUGUUUUGGCCUAGCAAUCAUUUUCCUUGUAAUUAUUUUUAUUGUAUUUCCGAGAAUGUUCUUGUAUAGAUUAGAUUUCUGUGUUCUUAUUAAUCGACAUUUAUUUAGACUUGUGAAGUCCAGAAACUGCUCCUUUGUUUGUGUAUCUUUCCCUUCAUUUCCUGUUUGAGUAUUUAGAUUAUGUUUAGGUUACGCCUUUGCGCUAGUUCUUAACCCAUGUAUUUUCCUCUACGGCUGAGUUUUGUAAACAUGCCCCUUUUUUGAAUGUGUUGCAGGCAUCAAAUUAAAAAUGAGUGAAUA
Molecule: long non-coding RNA, 1204 nt
Organism: Phyllopteryx taeniolatus (common seadragon)
Lineage: Eukaryota; Metazoa; Chordata; Actinopteri; Syngnathiformes; Syngnathidae
Exons: 3
Source: RefSeq, a predicted model, not a curated record